RNAcentral lists this ribosomal RNA (289 nucleotides) under uncultured bacterium. Its description in RNAcentral is "partial 16S ribosomal RNA". It matches the Rfam family "Bacterial small subunit ribosomal RNA", at positions 775 to 1067 of the family's 1533-position model. The record is from RNAcentral.
GGAUUAGAUACCCUGGUAGUCUACGCCGUAAACGAUGGUUACUAGCUGUUUGGACGAUUGAGUCUGAGUGGCUAAGCGAAAGUGAUAAGUAACCCACCUGGGGAGUACGUUCGCAAGAAUGAAACUCAAAGGAAUUGACGGGGGCCCGCACAAGCGGUGGAGCAUGUGGUUUAAUUCGAUGAUACGCGAGGAACCUUACCAGGGCUUAAAUGCAGUCUGACGUAUCUGGAAACAGAUAUUUCUUCGGACAGAUUGCAAGGUGCUGCAUGGUUGUCGUCAGCUCGUGCCG